This 253-nucleotide ribosomal RNA is filed under the name uncultured bacterium. RNAcentral describes it as "partial 16S ribosomal RNA". It matches the Rfam family "Bacterial small subunit ribosomal RNA", at positions 524 to 776 of the family's 1533-position model. The record is from RNAcentral.
UACAGAGGGGGCAAGCGUUGUUCGGAAUUACUGGGCGUAAAGGGCGCGUAGGCGGCCUGUUAAGUCGAACGUGAAAUCCCCGGGCUCAACCCGGGAACUGCGUCCGAUACUGGCAGGCUUGAAUUCGGGAGAGGGAUGCGGAAUUCCAGGUGUAGCGGUGAAAUGCGUAGAGAUCGGGAGGAACACCAGAGGCGAAGGCGGCGACCUGGACAAGUAUUGACACUGAACUACGAAAGCGUGGGGAGCAAACAGG